UACGGGAGGCAGCAGGGGGAAUAUUGCACAAUGGGCGCAAGCCUGAUGCAGCCAUGCCGCGUGUAUGAAGAAGGCCUUCGGGUUGUAAAGUACUUUCAGUCGUGAGGAAGGUGUUAAGGUUAAUAACCUUAGCAAUUGACGUUAGCGACAGAAGAAGCACCGGCUAACUCCGUGCCAGCAGCCGCGGUAAUACGGAGGGUGCGAGCGUUAAUCGGAAUUACUGGGCGUAAAGGGCACGCAGGCGGUUAAUUAAGUUGGAUGUGAAAUCCCCGGGCUUAACCUGGGAAUGGCAUUCAAGACUGGUUAGCUAGAGUCUUGUAGAGGGGGUAGAAUUCCAUGUGUAGCGGUGAAAUGCGUAGAGAUGUGGAGGAAUACCGGUGGCGAAGGCGGCCCCUGGACAAAGACUGACGCUCAUGUGCGAAAGCGUGGGGAGCAAACAGGGAUUAGAUAC
RNAcentral lists this ribosomal RNA (451 nucleotides) under uncultured bacterium. RNAcentral describes it as "bacterial SSU rRNA". It matches the Rfam family "Bacterial small subunit ribosomal RNA", at positions 340 to 785 of the family's 1533-position model. The record is from RNAcentral.